AUUGAACGCUGGCGGCACGCUUAACACAUGCAAGUCGAGCGGUAACAUGACUAGUAGCAAUACUAGUUGAUGACGAGCGGCGGACGGGUGAGUAACACGUAGGAGCUUGCCCAGUAGUGGGGGACAACCAAGGGAAACUUUGGCUAAUACCGCAUAUUCUCGAGAGAGGAAAGCUGCCGCAAGGUGGCGCCAUUGGAGAGGCCUGCGUCCGAUUAGCUAGUUGGUAGGGUAAAAGCCUACCAAGGCGAGGAUCGGUAACUGGUCUGAGAGGACGACCAGUCACACUGGGACUGAGACACGGCCCAGACUCCUACGGGAGGCAGCAGUGGGGAAUCUUGGACAAUGGGGGCAACCCUGAUCCAGCGAUGCCGCGUGAGUGAAGAAGGCCUUCGGGUCGUAAAGCUCUUUAGGCUGGGAAGAAGGUUGGUAGUUUAAGAGAUAAUCAAUUUGACUGUACCAGCAGAAUAAGCACCGGCAAACUCUGUGCCAGCCGCCGCCGUAA
This 502-nucleotide ribosomal RNA is filed under the name uncultured bacterium. RNAcentral's name for it is "partial 16S ribosomal RNA". It matches the Rfam family "Bacterial small subunit ribosomal RNA", at positions 30 to 523 of the family's 1533-position model. The record is from RNAcentral.